UAUGGCUCAGAACGAACGCUGGUGGCGUGUCUUAUACAUGCAAGUCGAGCGAGGCAGCAAUGCCGAGCGGCGAACGGGUGAGUAACGCGUAAGCAAUCUGCCCCAUAUCAGGAAAUACCCGUGCCAACGCGCGGUUAAUGUCCAGGAGAGUGGCCAGCUGCAUGGCUGGUUGACUAGAGAUUUAUCGGUAUGGGAUGAGCUUGCGUCCGAUUAGCUAGUUGGCGGGGCAACGGCCCACCAAGGCGACGAUCGGUAGCCGGCCUGAGAGGGUGAUCGGCCACAUUGGGACUGAGAUACGGCCCAGACUCCUACGGGAGGCAGCAGUAGGGAAUAUUGCACAAUGGGGGAAACCCUGAUGCAGCAACGCCACGUGUGGGAAGAAGCAUUUCGGUGUGUAAACCACUGUCAUGAGGGAAUAAGGCCCGCCUUCGGACGGGAUUGAAUGUACCUUGAGAGGAAGCACCGGCAAACUUCGUGCCAGCCGCUGC
This 488-nucleotide ribosomal RNA is filed under the name uncultured bacterium. RNAcentral describes it as "bacterial SSU rRNA". It matches the Rfam family "Bacterial small subunit ribosomal RNA", at positions 18 to 518 of the family's 1533-position model. The record is from RNAcentral.